UCUACUUAAUUAAGCUAAGAUCACUAACUAUUGGUAACUAACUCUAACAACAUCUACUAACUCUGCCAGCACUAACUCUACCAGAUGUCCUAACUAACUUGGCAGAAGAAGAAGAGAAAUGAAGUAGGAAACUUUUUUUGUGUAUUUGAUUGUGUAAAUAAUAACAUAUACAAUUCUGUAUUUAUAGACACAACUAUCCUCUACUUAAUUAAGCUAAGAUCACUAACUAUUGGUAACUAACUCUAACAACAUCAACUAACUCUGCCAGAUGUCCUAACUAACUUGGCA
RNAcentral lists this long non-coding RNA (288 nucleotides) under Nicotiana benthamiana. RNAcentral describes it as "long non-coding RNA (NBEN_LNC004902)". Lineage: Eukaryota; Viridiplantae; Streptophyta; Magnoliopsida; Solanales; Solanaceae. The record is from RNAcentral.